Molecule: ribosomal RNA, 89 nt
Filed under: Periophthalmus magnuspinnatus
Lineage: Eukaryota; Metazoa; Chordata; Actinopteri; Gobiiformes; Gobiidae
Source: RNAcentral
UACUUAGGUAACACAACUGAAGCUAAGCAGGGCUGGUCCUGGUUAGUAUUUGGAUGGGAGACUGUUGGGAAUACCAGGUGCCAUAGUAG